GACGAACGCUGGCGGCGUGCUUAACACAUGCAAGUCGAGCGGAAAGGCCCUUUCGGGGGUACUCGAGCGGCGAACGGGUGAGUAACACGUGAGUAAUCUGCCCUUGGCUUUGGGAUAACCACCGGAAACGGUGGCUAAUACCGGAUAUGACGCGCCCCGGCAUCGGGGUGUGUGGAAAGUUUUUUCGGCCAGGGAUGUGCUCGCGGCCUAUCAGCUUGUUGGUGGGGUAAUGGCCUACCAAGGCUUCGACGGGUAGCCGGCCUGAGAGGGUGACCGGCCACACUGGGACUGAGACACGGCCCAGACUCCUACGGGAGGCAGCAGUGGGGAAUAUUGGACAAUGGGCGGAAGCCUGAUCCAGCAACGCCGCGUGAGGGAUGACGGCCUUCGGGUUGUAAACCUCUUUCAGUACCGACGAAGCGCCGAUGAUGGUGGUGACGGUAGGUACAGAAGAAGCACCGGCCAACUACGUGCCAGCCGCCGCCGUAA
RNAcentral lists this ribosomal RNA (489 nucleotides) under uncultured bacterium. RNAcentral's name for it is "partial 16S ribosomal RNA". It matches the Rfam family "Bacterial small subunit ribosomal RNA", at positions 28 to 523 of the family's 1533-position model. The record is from RNAcentral.